RNAcentral lists this ribosomal RNA (849 nucleotides) under Triticum aestivum (bread wheat). RNAcentral describes it as "partial small subunit ribosomal RNA". Lineage: Eukaryota; Viridiplantae; Streptophyta; Magnoliopsida; Poales; Poaceae. The record is from RNAcentral.
AUGCUACGUCGUCUCAGAUUCCUCGGUCUUCAUCAAAAGAGCCUGUCAAAUGCCAUACCUGCUGCCCUAGGCAACCUCACGAGGCUCGAGUUUCUCUAUCUUCAUUUGAACCAGUUGUCAGGCCAGAUCCCUCCUCAGAUGAUGCUACGCAUGCGCAACCUUACACAGAUUAAUCUGUACGGGAACGGCUUGAGUGGACAAAUACCUCCGUAUUUGUUCAACAACACGCCUUUGUUGACGUUCGUUAACUUUGGGAACAAUAGCCUCUCAGGUCCUAUACCACACGCCGUUGCAUCACUAUCCAUGCUUGAAUUAUUAAGACUGGAUUUUAAUCAACUCUCUGGCCUGGUGCCACAAGCCAUGUUCAACAUGUCUAGAUUACAGGAAAUUUCCUUAGUAAAUAAUCGUAACCUGACCGGAACAUUUCCGAGCAAUCAAAGUUUCAGCCUCCCAAUGUUACAGGUUGUUUCCAUAUAUGGUAACAAAUUUGCCGGUCGGUUACCAUCAGGGUUUGCAUCAUGCCAAUACCUACAAGUAAUUGAUUUGCACGCAAAUUCUUUUGUGGAUGUUCUGCCGACAUGGUUGGCCAAAUUGACAAACCUCAAAAAACUUAACUUGGGUUUUAAUCACCUUAUUGGCUCGAUCCCAGCGGCCCUUGGUAAUCUUUAUCUUUAUCUUUACCUCUUUAUCUUUAUCUUUAUCUUUACCUCUUUAUCUUUAUCUUUAUCUUUACCUAUAUAUAUAUAUAAAUAUAUAUAUAUAUAUAUAUAUAUAUAUAUACUAAUAAACCAGCUAUUGCUUUUGGUCGUCCGUCGUGGUUGUUUUGCAAAACAGCCCCUCAGUUUAUAG